This 497-nucleotide ribosomal RNA is filed under the name uncultured bacterium. Its description in RNAcentral is "partial 16S ribosomal RNA". It matches the Rfam family "Bacterial small subunit ribosomal RNA", at positions 28 to 507 of the family's 1533-position model. The record is from RNAcentral.
GAUGAACGCUGGCGGCGUGCCUAAUACAUGCAAGUCGAGCGAACGGACGAGAAGCUUGCUUCUCUGAUGUUAGCGGCGGACGGGUGAGUAACACGUGGAUAACCUACCUAUAAGACUGGGAUAACUUCGGGAAACCGGAGCUAAUACCGGAUGAUAUUUUGAACCGCAUGGUUCAAAAGUGAAAGACGGUCUUGCUGUCACUUAUAGAUGGAUCCGCGCUGCAUUAGCUAGUUGGUAAGGUAACGGCUUACCAAGGCAACGAUGCAAAGCCGACCUGAGAGGGUGAUCGGCCACACUGGAACUGAGACACGGUCCAGACUCCUACGGGAGGCAGCAGUAGGGAAUCUUCCGCAAUGGGCGAAAGCCUGACGGAGCAACGCCGCGUGAGUGAUGAAGGUCUUCGGAUCGUAAAACUCUGUUAUCAGGGAAGAACAUAUGUGUAAGUAACUGUGCACAUCUUGACGGUACCUAAUCAGAAAGCCACGGCUAACUACGUG